AGAGUUUGAUCCUGGCUCAGGAUAAACGCUGGCGGCGUGCCUAACACAUGCAAGUCGAACGCUCUCUGGUAACAGAGGGAGUGGCGGACGGGUGAGUAACACAUGGGAAUCGACCCACACGUGAGGAAUACCACCGGGAAACCGGUGACAAUACCGCAUACGCUCAGCAAUGAGCAAAGCUCUCGGUAACGGGGGCGCGAGUGGACGAGCCUGUGCCUGAUUAGUUAGUUGGUGGGGUAAGAGCCUACCAAGACUGCGAUCAGUCGCUGGUCUGAGAGGAUGAUCAGCCACACUGGGAUUGAGAACGGCCCAGACUCCUACGGGGGGCAGCAGUGAGGAAUCUUCGGCAAUGGGGGCAACCCUGACCGAACAACGCCGCGUGCAGGACGACGGCCUUCGGGUUGUAAACUGCUUUUCUGGGGGAUGAGAGUGGACAGUACCCCAGGAAGAAGCUCCGGCUAACUACGUGCCAGCAGCCGCGGUAAUACGUAGGGAGCAAGCGUUGUCCGGAGUUACUGGGCGUAAAGCGCACGCAGGCGGUCUGUCGCGUUCGUGCCGACAGCGACUCGCCUAACGAGUCGAGGAGUACGGAAACGGGCAGACUUGAGGGUCAGAGAGGGACACGGAACUCCGGGUGGAGUGGUGAAAUGCGUAGAGAUCCGGAAGAACACCAAAGGCGAUGGCAGUGUCCUGGCUGAUACCUGACGCUCAGAGGCGACAGCGAGGGGAGCGAACGGGAUUAGAUACCCCGGUAGUCCUCGCCGUAAACGAUGACCACGAGAUGUCCGGGGGAUCGACCCCCUGGGUGUCGCAGCUAACGCAGUCAGUGGUCCGCCUGGGGAGUACGGUCGCAAGAUUAAAACUUAAAGGAAUUGACGG
Molecule: ribosomal RNA, 879 nt
Filed under: uncultured bacterium
Lineage: Bacteria
Description: bacterial SSU rRNA
Rfam family: Bacterial small subunit ribosomal RNA
Source: RNAcentral